CAGUCGCCACGGGAAUAUGUAGGGUGCGAGCGUUAAUCGGAAUUACUGGGCGUAAAGCGUGCGCAGGCGGUUGUGUAAGACAGGUGUGAAAUCCCCGGGCUUAGCCUGGGAACUGCGCUUGUGACUGCACAGCUAGAGUAUGGCAGAGGGGGGUGGAAUUCCACGUGUAGCAGUGAAAUGCGUAGAGAUGUGGAGGAACACCGAUGGCGAAGGCAGCCCCCUGGGCCAAUACUGACGCUCAUGCACGAAAGCGUGGGGAGCAAACAGGAUUAGAUACCCGUGUAGUCCCUGUCUCUUAUAA
Molecule: ribosomal RNA, 301 nt
Filed under: uncultured bacterium
Lineage: Bacteria
Description: partial 16S ribosomal RNA
Rfam family: Bacterial small subunit ribosomal RNA
Source: RNAcentral